Papaver somniferum (opium poppy) is the source of this 2220-nucleotide long non-coding RNA. RefSeq lists it as uncharacterized. The record is from RefSeq and is a predicted model, not a curated record. The transcript is spliced from 6 exons. Lineage: Eukaryota; Viridiplantae; Streptophyta; Magnoliopsida; Ranunculales; Papaveraceae.
UAGAUUUAGUAUUGUCCUACAUUUUUCAAGGCUUAUAAAAAUUAGAAAAAUGAAAGAGAAAAGGGAAUUGUUAUCUCUCCUGCCUUGAUAAAUUUUAACACCGAAAACCUUUUAAUUUUUCUACUCAAUAAUUGAGCACUUCCCCACACUGAUAUUUGCAGAUGUAUGGUUGCAUUCCUGACGAUUGUAAAAAUCUUGUUCUGAAGCUGUUGAUUUAGGUUAUGACUGUUUAGAGUGGCAAAUUUGUGUCUCGAAUAAACCUUGCUAAUGGAGAAGUUGUUCCUGAAAGAAGUGCACUAGACAAAGGUGUCCUUGAUAUCUUGUCUGGGGAUAUGCCUAAAGGUAGUAAGAUUCAGACCAAGCAUCUCGAGGUAUUGAUUGAGUUGCAACUUGCACAACAUGGCGAGUGCUUUUGCAAGGAAUAUUCAACAUUUGUUCUCGGAUUCUGCUCUUUAGGUUUUAUUGGACAUACUGAAGGCAAUAUAUUCCCCUUACGAAUCCUUUAAACAGAGAUAUGGACAGAUAGAAUGUAUAAUCCUGUCUUCUGAGAUUGCUGGACUGGAUCUUAGGGGAGCUGUUGGGGGUCAGGCAUUCAACUAUGUGGAACAUUUCGAAGUAUGCAAGAAUCUAUUCCACAAGUUAUUGUGCUUCUUGAUGCAGCUUUGGAGAGAUGCAUCAAUUUACUGGAGGUUCCGAGGCAGGGGAACUUAUUUUGGCAAUUGACGAUAUUAUGAUGCAGUUUAUUCCAUUUUUCAACAAACAUUGAAAUCAUUGGGCGCUGUAUGUGGAGUGGACUUCACCAGUGAUGCCACUGGUACAAAGAAAGAAAUUGGUUCGGACAGAAGGGAAGGAGCCUAUAAUGCGCACAGAUUAGAGACUAGCUUAGAAGAAGAAGAGUGGUCUAUUGUCCAGGGAGCAUUGCAGAUUCUUACAGUUGCGGAUCGUCUAACAAGCAGGUCUUCAGUGUUAGAAGCUUCCUUGAGAUCUACUCUUCCCCGUCUGAGCACUAGUUCUCAAUGGAUAUCAGUGGAGACAGUUGAAGAACUGCAACUGCAACUACCAACAACUCAAUAAGAUAUGAAUAUGGGAGUGUUGGAUGCCUUUGCGUACUUGCUCAAAAUGAAGAGACUUUUAAAGUGUGGGUAAUGCAAGAUUAUGGAAUUCCAGAAUCUUGUACAAAACUGUAUACCAUUACGUAUGAGAGUGUGCCAUCAGAAAAGUCAUCGGAAUAAGCAUCAGUCAGUGGAAUAAGCGACUAAAAGUCAUUGGAAAAUCGUUUCACACUUACCAUGGAGAACUCUCUGAGAGAGAUACCGUGAACUAUUGUUGGACAACUGUUUAAAUCUUAUAUUGAAUGCCAUGGGAUUGAGUCCCAGCUUUCAAAUUUCCAACACUUAACUAUUUUUUUUUGCGCGGUUUUCGGUCAAUUCCUAGACUUUCAAUCUCAAGCCCUCUUCCAAUACAUCAUUCUUCAGCUGAAUACAAGUGGAUUAGAUCGUAGCAGAGACCAUGGUCUGGGUAAAGAAGCGAAUUCACCACUUAUUUAGGGAUGAAAUUCUCAACUUCCUGACCGGGUUUGUAUAGAUGUGAUAUGGCCUUUCAGUUUCCAACUAGCUGAUAGGAAAAUCGUAACCUACACAUUUACUCCUCUUUUGGUUCCUCAAGUACCAUUUCAUUACUUUCUCAGGCGGCCGAGUUGAUUUGAUUCUCUACUAUCCAGUUAGCCGUUCAUUCUAGCAUUACACAGGCUCCCUUGCGUAUCUGUGUAUUUCCGGCUUCAAACAGUACCACCUUUUAGUUCAUUUGAGUACUCCAUUCUAUAACUCAGUAAAAGACAGGAAGCCAGCAGAAUCUCAACUGAAUUCAAUUGCUUGCAGGCUGGCAACGCGAAAUAUCCAAUCUGUUCAUGGUUUCUGAAUUUCACUGCACAGCGUAGUGUAUAUCUGGUGCAUUGCAUUAGUAUAAAUUCUCUCUGUAUCUCUAACAAGUGACAACAGCUCACAAGGAAAAGUAUAAAAUCAUCAAUUACACCUGUUAUUCAAUUCGGAUCCUAAAACGGUUUUAGGCCCAAUCAUUGGAAACAGGCUUGAGUUUGAAGCUCUUCAUUUUUCUAGGCCCAACUAGUGUUGUUAGUAUUGCUCCCACGGUUUCUCAAAGGCAAUGACUAAUUUUUUUUUGGGAAAAUUAGGGGGAGACCCAAAAAAAAAAUAAUAUUCUCAU